Molecule: long non-coding RNA, 729 nt
Filed under: Gossypium barbadense (sea-island cotton)
Lineage: Eukaryota; Viridiplantae; Streptophyta; Magnoliopsida; Malvales; Malvaceae
Description: long non-coding RNA (GBAR_LNC018428)
Source: RNAcentral
AAAAAUCACAAAUUUAUUGAGUUUUUGGGUUUAUCAAAACCAUAGAUUUACAUAUAAGUUUAUCAAGAUUUAAUUAUAUGUGUUUGUAAUACCCGAUUUUGGCUCGGGUCUAAAAGGCCCAAACUACAACAGGCCUAUAUGGCCCAAACCCGAAAUACAGAGUCCCAAAAUACCAACCCAGUGGCCCAAAACAAUGUUAGAAAGCCCUAAGGUUUCUGGGGUAAACUUUUGCGCCGCAUCCAAUCCCCCGCAUGAGCCGCACGCCUUCAUCUGCAAGAAAUAAACACAAAGAAGGAAACAAAAUCAAAGAUCAAGAAGAUAUCAAACAUAAUUUGUUUCUUUAUUUUUUUUAUUAUUACUAUGGCUAUAAAAAGGCCAUUAAUAUACUGUAGAGGGGAUUUUUUUUGGGAAAUUAAUAAAAAAACGAGUAUUUUCACAAUAUUAAGGAGAGAAAAACAAAAUAGAGAUUAAAGGUAGUGAUUUGUUUUCUUUGUUUUCUUUUCCUUCAAUUCGAUUUAUUUAUUUGUUAUACGGAAAGUAAAAAGAAAGAAAAGGAAAAAUACCUGGAGACGCCUUUAAAUUUGCGCGAAAAGAUCCAAAAAGCCUCUUUGGGGUGCGGCUCCGACCACCUUUCAUGGUGGGAUCGUGGCAGAGGCGCGGCGGCAUAGAAGCUAGGGCCGAAACCCUAGCAGAGGAAUAUCAAGGUUUUUUUUUAAUUUUUUUUGCUGC